AUUGAACGCUGGCGGCAUGCCUUACACAUGCAAGUCGAACGGCAGCACGGGUGCUUGCACCUGGUGGCGAGUGGCGAACGGGUGAGUAAUACAUCGGAACGUACCUUAUCGUGGGGGAUAACGCAGCGAAAGCUGUGCUAAUACCGCAUACGCCCUGAGGGGGAAAGCGGGGGAUCGCAAGACCUCGCGCGAUUAGAGCGGCCGAUGCCUGAUUAGCUUGUUGGUGGGGUAAAAGCCCACCAAGGCGACGAUCAGUAGCUGGUCUGAGAGGACGACCAGCCACACUGGGACUGAGACACGGCCCAGACUCCUACGGGAGGCAGCAGUGGGGAAUUUUGGACAAUGGGGGCAACCCUGAUCCAGCAAUGCCGCGUGAGUGAAGAAGGCCUUCGGGUUGUAAAGCUCUUUUGUCAGGGAAGAAACACCGGCUCUAACACAGUCUGGGAAUGACGGUACCUGAAGAAUAAGCACCGGCUAACUACGUGCCAGCAGCCGCUGUAA
This 501-nucleotide ribosomal RNA is filed under the name uncultured bacterium. Its description in RNAcentral is "partial 16S ribosomal RNA". It matches the Rfam family "Bacterial small subunit ribosomal RNA", at positions 30 to 523 of the family's 1533-position model. The record is from RNAcentral.